CAUGAUUUAGCCAGUACCCCCAAGCAAAGAGACCUUUAGUUUGAUACCCCGAAACCAGGUGAGCUACCCCGAGACAGCCUAUGUUAAUUUAGGGCUAACCCGUCUCUGUGGCAAAAGAGUGGGAAGAGCUCCGGGUAGAAGUGAAAGACCUACCGAACCUGGUGAUAGCUGGUUGACUGAGAGAUGGAUAGAAGUUCAGCCUCGCACACCCCAAACCAAGAAAUAUCAUUAUCAAGAUAUUUAGGGAUACGUACGAGAGUUAGUUAAAAGGGGUACAGCCCUUUUAACAAAGGAUACAACCUUUACAGGAGGAUAAAGAUCAUAAUGUAUAAGAUAUACUGUUCUAGUGGGCCUGAAAGCAGCCACCUAUACAGAAAGCGUUAAAGCUCGGACAGAAAGAAAUUUAUUAUUUAGAUAAAAAAUCUUAUUCCCCUAACUAUAUCAGACCAACCCAUGCCCACAUGGAAGAGAUUAUGCUAAAAUGAGUAAUAAGAAGACCCGCUCUUCUCCCAGCACAAGUGUAAGCCAGAUCGGACUAGCCACUGGAAUUUAACGAACCCAACCCAAGAGGGUAAUGUGAUCAACAAAAAACUCAAGAAGACCUCACAUUAAACAAUCGUUAACCCCACACUGGAGUGCUAUUUUAAGGGAAAGACUAAAAGAAGGGGAAGGAACUCGGCAAACACAAGCCUCGCCUGUUUACCAAAAACAUCGCCUCCUGCAACUGAACUGAGUAUAGGAGGUCCAGCCUGCCCAGUGACUACGGGUUCAACGGCCGCGGUAUCUUGACCGUGCAAAGGUAGCGCAAUCACUUGUCUCUUAAAUAGAGACCUGUAUGAAUGGCUAGACGAGGGCUUAACUGUCUCCCCCCUCCAGUCAGUGAAAUUGAUCUAUCCGUGCAGAAGCGGGUAUAAAUAUACAAGACGAGAAGACCCUUUGGAGCUUAAGGUACAAAUUCAACCACGUUAAACAACUCUAUAAGAAGCAAGAACUUAGUGAUACUGAAAUUUUACCUUCGGUUGGGGCGACCGCGGAGGAAAAACAAGCCUCCGAGUGGACUGGGCCAAACCCCUGAAGCUAAUAGAGACAUCUAUAGGACACAGAAUAUCUGACCAAAAAUGAUCCGGCUAAAAAGCCGAUCAACGAACCAAGUUACCCAAGGGAUAACAGCGCAAUCCCCUCCCAGAGCCCAUAUCUACGAGGGGGUUUACGACCUCGAUGUUGGAUCAGGACAUCCUAAUGGUGCAGCCGCUAUUAAGGGUUCGUUUGUUCAACGAUUAAAGUCC
This 1286-nucleotide ribosomal RNA is filed under the name Rhynchocypris percnurus (lake minnow). RNAcentral describes it as "partial 16S ribosomal RNA". It matches the Rfam family "Bacterial large subunit ribosomal RNA", at positions 614 to 2596 of the family's 2925-position model. The record is from RNAcentral. Lineage: Eukaryota; Metazoa; Chordata; Actinopteri; Cypriniformes; Leuciscidae.